This 249-nucleotide ribosomal RNA is filed under the name uncultured Actinomycetales bacterium. RNAcentral's name for it is "partial 16S ribosomal RNA". It matches the Rfam family "Bacterial small subunit ribosomal RNA", at positions 84 to 334 of the family's 1533-position model. Lineage: Bacteria; Bacillati; Actinomycetota; Actinomycetes; Actinomycetales. The record is from RNAcentral.
GGGGUGCUCGAGAGGCGAACGGGUGAGUAACACGUGAGUAACCUGCCCUUGACUUUGGGAUAACUUCAGGAAACUGGGGCUAAUACCGGAUAGGAGCUCCUGCUGCAUGGUGGGGGUUGGAAAGUUUCGGCGGUUGGGGAUGGACUCGCGGCUUAUCAGCUUGUUGGUGGGGUAGUGGCUUACCAAGGCUUUGACGGGUAGCCGGCCUGAGAGGGUGACCGGCCACAUUGGGACUGAGAUACGGCCCAG